RNAcentral lists this ribosomal RNA (253 nucleotides) under uncultured bacterium. RNAcentral describes it as "partial 16S ribosomal RNA". It matches the Rfam family "Bacterial small subunit ribosomal RNA", at positions 524 to 776 of the family's 1533-position model. The record is from RNAcentral.
UACGUAGGGUGCAAGCGUUGUCCGGAAUUAUUGGGCGUAAAGAGCUCGUUGGCGGUUUGUCGCGUCUGCUGUGAAAAUCCAGGGCUUAACCCUGGACCUGCAGUGGGUACGGGCAGACUAGAGUGCGGUAGGGGAGAUCGGAAUUCCUGGUGUAGCGGUGAAAUGCGCAGAUAUCGGGAGGAACACCAGUGGCGAAGGCGACUUCCUGGCCUGUUCUUGACGCUGAGGCGCGAAAGCUAGGGGAGCAAACGGG